RNAcentral lists this ribosomal RNA (372 nucleotides) under uncultured organism. RNAcentral's name for it is "partial 16S ribosomal RNA". It matches the Rfam family "Bacterial small subunit ribosomal RNA", at positions 527 to 896 of the family's 1533-position model. The record is from RNAcentral.
GUAGGUGGCAAGCGUUGUCCGGUAUUAUUGGGCGUAAAGCGCGCGCAGGCGGUUCUUUAAGUCUGAUGUGAAAGCCCACGGCUCAACCGUGGAGGGUCAUUGGAAACUGGAGAACUUGAGUACAGAAGAGGAAAGCGGAAUUCCACGUGUAGCGGUGAAAUGCGUAGAGAUGUGGAGGAACACCAGUGGCGAAGGCGGCUUUCUGGUCUGUAACUGACGCUAAGGCGCGAAAGCGUGGGGAGCAAACAGGGAUUAGAUACCCUGGUAGUCCACGCCGUAAACGAUGAGUGCUAAGUGUUAGGGGGUUUCCGCCCCCUUAGUGCUGCAGCUAACGCAUUAAGCACUCCGCCUGGGGAUACGGCCGCAAGGCUG